GACGAACGCUGGCGGCGUGCUUAACACAUGCAAGUCGAACGGAAAGGCCCUGCUCUUGUGGGGUGCUCGAGUGGCGAACGGGUGAGUAACACGUGAGUAACCUGCCCUUGACUUUGGGAUAACUUCAGGAAACUGGGGCUAAUACCGGAUAGGAGCUCCUGCUGCAUGGUGGGGGUUGGAAAGUUUCGGCGGUUGGGGAUGGACUCGCGGCUUAUCAGCUUGUUGGUGGGGUAGUGGCUUACCAAGGCUUUGACGGAUAGCCGGCCUGAGAGGGUGACCGGCCACCUGGGGACUGCGAUACGGCCCAGACUCCUACGGGAGGCAGCAGUGGGGAAUAUUGCACAAUGGGCGGAAGCCUGAGGCAGCAACGCCGCGUGCGGGAUGACGGCCUUCGGGUUGUAAACCGCUUUCGCCUGUGACGAAGCGUGAGUGACGGUAAUGGGUAAAGAAGCACCGGCUAACUACGUG
Molecule: ribosomal RNA, 468 nt
Filed under: uncultured bacterium
Lineage: Bacteria
Description: partial 16S ribosomal RNA
Rfam family: Bacterial small subunit ribosomal RNA
Source: RNAcentral